UGGGGAAUAUUGGACAAUGGGGGAAACCCUGAUCCAGCAAUGCCGUGUGAGUGAUGAAGGCCCUUGGGUUGUAAAGCUCUGUCAGGAGGGACGAAAUGCCCCGUAAGGGGAGCUGACGGUACCUCCAAAGGAAGCACCGGCUAACUCCGUGCCAGCAGCCGCGGUAAUACGGAGGGUGCAAGCGUUGUUCGGAAUCACUGGGCGUAAAGCGCGUGUAGGCGGUUUUUUAAGUCGGAUGUGAAAUCCCUCGGCUCAACCGAGGACGUGCAUCCGAUACUGGAAAACUUGAGUAUCGGAGGGGAUGGCGGAAUUCCUGGUGUAGAGGUGAAAUUCGUAGAUAUCAGGAGGAACAUCUGUGGCGAAGGCGGCCAUCUGGAAGAUAACUGACGCUGAGACGCGAAAGCGUGGGGAGCAAACAGG
RNAcentral lists this ribosomal RNA (420 nucleotides) under uncultured bacterium. RNAcentral describes it as "bacterial SSU rRNA". It matches the Rfam family "Bacterial small subunit ribosomal RNA", at positions 355 to 776 of the family's 1533-position model. The record is from RNAcentral.